RNAcentral lists this ribosomal RNA (591 nucleotides) under Triticum aestivum (bread wheat). Its description in RNAcentral is "partial small subunit ribosomal RNA". The record is from RNAcentral. Lineage: Eukaryota; Viridiplantae; Streptophyta; Magnoliopsida; Poales; Poaceae.
AUGUCGGCCGCCCAGAUCAGGGCCGAGAUCAACGGCCUUAUCGCCUCCAAGUUCGCCGAGGGUACGGUGGAUCAGUAUUUCUUGCAGCUGUACGUGAUGCGGAGGUACAAGAAGAUACGCAAGGGCAUGGUCGUUGAGGUCAUGGAACGCUUCCUCCAAGACGCUGACAAGAUCCUCACCGAAAUCGCCGUCUUGCUGAACGAGCCCCAGCUGGACUACGACAAGGUGGAGGGGAUCGCGGAUCAGCUCGAGGGGUGCAGCAGCAGCAGUGUUGGUGCUAAGAGAGUCAACCUCUCAUGCGUGGAGUACUUCCAUCCUGAGGCAAAAACCGAAGAAGGGAACCAGCCAGUGGUGGACUUCGACAAGGUGGACGCCCUCGUGCAGCAGCUCAAGGGGUGUAGCUCCAGUGUUGGUGCUAACAAACUGAGCGUCUCAUGCAUGCACUUCCGUCGGUUCAAUCAUUCAAAAUCCAAAGAAGGGUACCUCAUUGCAUUGGCUCCUAUUAUGAAUGAGUUCUGUGAUGUGCGCAACAUGUUCCUCACCAUACUGCAGAUGGAGGAACAGGUCGAUGCCUUGGGCCCUAAGUACUAG